ACUCCUACGGGAGGCAGCAGUGGGGAAUAUUGCACAAUGGGCGCAAGCCUGAUGCAGCCAUGCCGCGUGUGUGAAGAAGGCCUUCGGGUUGUAAAGCACUUUCUAGUCGUGAGGAAGGCGGGUACGUUAAUAGCGUAUUCGUUUGACGUUAGCGAUAGAAGAAGCACCGGCUAACUCCGUGCCAGCAGCCGCGGUAAUACGGAGGGUGCGAGCGUUAAUCGGAAUUACUGGGCGUAAAGCGCAUGCAGGUGGUUUGUUAAGUCAGAUGUGAAAGCCCGGGGCUCAACCUCGGAAUAGCAUUUGAAACUGGCAGACUAGAGUACUGUAGAGGGGGUAGAAUUUCAGGUGUAGCGGUGAAAUGCGUAGAGAUCUGAAGGAAUACCGGUGGCGAAGGCGGCCCCCUGGACAGAGUACUGACACUCAGAUGCGAAAGCGUGGGAGCAAACAGGAUUAGAUACCCCUGGUAGGUGACAA
RNAcentral lists this ribosomal RNA (474 nucleotides) under uncultured bacterium. RNAcentral's name for it is "bacterial SSU rRNA". It matches the Rfam family "Bacterial small subunit ribosomal RNA", at positions 335 to 798 of the family's 1533-position model. The record is from RNAcentral.